This is a long non-coding RNA of Apis florea (little honeybee), 910 nucleotides long. The record is from RefSeq and is a predicted model, not a curated record. NCBI's taxonomy places the organism in Eukaryota, Metazoa, Arthropoda, Insecta, Hymenoptera, Apidae.
UAAAAUUUAAUAAAACUGACAGAGUUAUUAGAAAACGUUAUUCGAAGAAUAAAAAAUUGAUUUCUAUUGAAUCUAUUCAUUUAUGAUCAUUCAAAUAGAUCAUAAAAAAAAAAAUAAUUUUAAAUACAAUGUAUCAUUAUAUAAAAAAAAUUCAUAAUUUGACGAAGAUUUCUCUGUAUUAACAAUUCGAGCAGUUUUUUGAUUAUAAACAAUUUCUUAUUACACUAUCAUUAUGUAACUUUAAAUUGGAGAACGAAAGUUGUGGGAGUGGAGAAGUGCGAUAUAGAUUAACAUUACGAGCCAGUCGAGUCCACUUUCUCGCAUUAAGGAGAACUAAGUUUACAGAUAUACACAAGGUGGCCAUUAAUUAAGUCCAAAUUUAUUUCAAAUUAAUAAUUAUAGAAAAUGCAUUUAUUAAUUCAGAAUUGGAAAGCUAAUAUAGCUAGACUAUGAAAAUUAGUAGAUCCAUACUAAUUCAAUACUUGUUACUAUUAUCUGAUUAAACUUAAGUGAUGUUCAAAAUCUUGAUGAUUUUCAAAAUACAUGUAAAAUAACCAAUUUAUUGAUGAAGAAACUAAUUUAUAAAAUCAUAUAAUAAUGGUGAUUUCUAGUUUGCUAAAUUACUAAUGGUAACAUUACCUUCACUUGAAGUCACUAAUGAAUGUUGCAAAAAAAGAAUGGCUGAAGAAACUAUUUCUUUUUUUACUUGGCCUAAAGUAAAAGUGAAAAUUGCUUACUGUUAAGCAAAAACUUCAAACGUUGAAAUUGAAAAAAAAGAUGAGGAAAAAGAUUUUUAUUUCCUCAAAGAAGUGUUGCAAAUGGAAUGUUUGCAUAAUUCUUGGCACAGAACUAAAUCAGGAAAAAUUCAUAUUAUGAAAAGAGAAAAUCCUUAUUUAGACAACUUGUAUAA